GCGAGUGUGGUGAAGCGGUUAACACACCCGGCUGUGACCCGGUCAUUCGUGAGUUCGAAUCUCAUCACUCGCCCCA
This 76-nucleotide transfer RNA is filed under the name Candidatus Alectryobacillus merdavium. RNAcentral's name for it is "tRNA-His". It matches the Rfam family "tRNA". Rfam says of the family: Transfer RNA (tRNA) molecules are approximately 80 nucleotides in length. Their secondary structure includes four short double-helical elements and three loops (D, anti-codon, and T loops). Lineage: Bacteria; Bacillati; Bacillota; Bacilli. The record is from RNAcentral.